This 351-nucleotide ribosomal RNA is filed under the name Azospirillum brasilense. RNAcentral describes it as "partial 16S ribosomal RNA". It matches the Rfam family "Bacterial small subunit ribosomal RNA", at positions 115 to 504 of the family's 1533-position model. The record is from RNAcentral. Lineage: Bacteria; Pseudomonadati; Pseudomonadota; Alphaproteobacteria; Rhodospirillales; Azospirillaceae.
CCGUGGACCUGCCUUNUGGUUCGGGUUAACGUNUGGAAACGGNCGNUAACACCGGAUGUGCCUUCGGGGAAAGUUUNCGCCNUGAGAGGGGCCCGCGUUCCGAUUAGGUAGUUGGUGGGGUAAUGGCCCACCAAGCCGACGAUCGGUUAGCUGGUCUGAGAGGAUGAUCAGCCACACUGGGACUGAGACACGGCCCAGACUCCUACGGGAGNCAGUCAGUGGGGAAUAUAUGGACAAUGGGGGCAAACCCUGAUCCACGAAUNCGCGUGAGNGAUGAAGGCCUUAGGGUUGUAAAGCUCUUNNCACGCCAACGAUGAUGACGGUAGCGUGANAAAAANCCCGGCUAACUUC